CUCACCAUCUCAGAGUAGGGCCUGAUGUUGAAGGGGAAGACUGAGGCAGCCAGGACACACAGGAACUCUGGGCUGUGCCACAUUGGGGCCAGGUCUGGGACGUUGUGAUACAGGUACCUGAAGAACUGCAUCAGAGUCACCGGGUACUCCCUCAGCCACGACCCCUCUUCCUCAGACUGCCACGGCUAAGAGGACGAAGAAAAGCACAACGUCAUUUGAUGGUAGAAGAAGAUCGAGGAGCUAUAUGACAUUUGGUGACAGCAAGCUAGGUUGAACAUGCUCCUCAUCUCCUCUAUCCUUCCCUCGCUCUUCCUCUCCUCCCUCCACUCCUCCUCUCCUCUAUCCUUCCCUCGCUCCUCCUCUCACCAGGUUGAGCAUGCUCCUCAGCAUCCCCAGUAACAGG
Molecule: long non-coding RNA, 403 nt
Organism: Oncorhynchus keta (chum salmon)
Lineage: Eukaryota; Metazoa; Chordata; Actinopteri; Salmoniformes; Salmonidae
Exons: 3
Source: RefSeq, a predicted model, not a curated record